This 1102-nucleotide ribosomal RNA is filed under the name Verrucaria elaeina. RNAcentral describes it as "eukaryotic LSU rRNA". It matches the Rfam family "Eukaryotic large subunit ribosomal RNA", at positions 1 to 1512 of the family's 3401-position model. Lineage: Eukaryota; Fungi; Ascomycota; Eurotiomycetes; Verrucariales; Verrucariaceae. The record is from RNAcentral.
GAUUGACCUCGGAUCAGGUAGGGAUACCCGCUGAACUUAAGCAUAUCAAUAAGCGGAGGAAAARGAAACCAACAGGGAUUGCCUCAGUAACGGCGAGUGAAGCGGCAACAGCUCAAAUUUGAAAUCUGGCUCCUUUGGGGGUCCGAGUUGUAAUUUGUAGAGGAUGCUUCGGGUAAGGCUGCGGUCUAAUUUGCUUGGAACAGCGAGUCAUAGAGGGUGAGAAUCCCGUCUAGGAUGGCGAGCCGCGCCCGUGUGAAGCUCCUUCGACGAGUCGAGUUGUUUGGGAAUGCAGCUCUAAAUGGGUGGUAAAUUUCAUCUAAAGCUAAAUAUUGGCCAGAGACCGAUAGCGCACAAGUAGAGUGAUCGAAAGAUGAAAAGCACUUUGAAAAGAGAGUUAAACAGUAUGUGAAAUUGUUGAAAGGGAAGCGCUUGCAAUCAGACUUGAGUGUAACGGUUCCCCCGGUCUCUUUUGACCGGGUCACUCCGUUAUAUCCAGGCCAACAUCGGUUCGAGGGGUCGGUUAAAGACCUCGGGAAUGUAUCUACCUUCGGGUCGACUUAUAGCCCGGGGUGUAAUGCGGCCUCCCCGGACCGAGGAACGCGCUUCGGCUCGGAUGUUGGCGUAAUGGUUGUAAGCGGCCCGUCUUGAAACACGGACCAAGGAGUCUAACAUCUAUGCGAGUGUUUGGGUGUUAAACCCCUACGCGUAAUGAAAGUGAACGGAGGUAAGAACCCCGUCAAACGGGUGCAUUAUCGACCGAUCCUGAUGUCUUCGGAUGGAUUUGAGUAAGAGCAUAGCUGUUGGGACCCGAAAGAUGGUGAACUAUGCCUGAAUAGGGUGAAGCCAGAGGAAACUCUGGUGGAGGCUCGCAGCGGUUCUGACGUGCAAAUCGAUCGUCAAAUUUGGGCAUAGGGGCGAAAGACUAAUCGAACCAUCAAAGGAAUAAAAAAUAAGGGCUAUCGGGUGGUUCUUUAACAGUCCUUCGGGGCUACAUCGUCCUUCUGGCGGGGAUCAAUACCCGCAGCAGUUUCGGCUGUCCACAGAUCUAGGAGACGGUGGUCAUCUUCACCAGGAAAGAUGAUGAUGAUAUAGUCGGUUUGGU